CAUAUCAAUAAGCGGGGGAA
RNAcentral lists this ribosomal RNA (20 nucleotides) under Leccinum cyaneobasileucum var. brunneogriseolum. Its description in RNAcentral is "partial 28S ribosomal RNA". Lineage: Eukaryota; Fungi; Basidiomycota; Agaricomycetes; Boletales; Boletaceae. The record is from RNAcentral.